GGGCGAGUGGCGGAAUGGCAGACGCAGGGGACUCAAAAUCCCCCGGGGGCAACCCCGUGUGAGUUCGACUCUCACCUCGGGCA
RNAcentral lists this transfer RNA (83 nucleotides) under Candidatus Uhrbacteria bacterium. RNAcentral's name for it is "tRNA-Leu". It matches the Rfam family "tRNA". From Rfam's summary of the family: Transfer RNA (tRNA) molecules are approximately 80 nucleotides in length. Their secondary structure includes four short double-helical elements and three loops (D, anti-codon, and T loops). Lineage: Bacteria; Candidatus Uhriibacteriota. The record is from RNAcentral.